UAGGGGAGCGUUCUGUAAGCCGAUGAAGGUGUGUUGAGAAGCAUGCUGGAGGUAUCAGAAGUGCGAAUGCUGACGUGAGUAACGACAAAACGGGUGAAAAACCCGUUCGCCGAAAGACCAAGGGUUCCAGUCCAACGUUAAUCGGGGCUGGGUGAGUCGACCCCUAAGGCGAGGCCGAAAGGCGUAGUCGAUGGGAAAAUGGUUAAUAUUCCAUUACUUCUGUGUAAUGCGAUGAGAGGACGGAGAAGGCUAAAUCAGCCUGGCGUUGGUUGUCCAGGUGAAAGGAUGUAGGCAUGUAUCUUAGGCAAAUCCGGGGUACUCUAUGCUGAGAUCUGAUAGCAAGCUGUACUUGUACAGCGAAGUGGUUGAUGCCAUGCUUCCAGGAAAAGUCUCUAAGCUUCAGUUACACAGGAAUCGUACCCGAAACCGACACAGGUGGUCAGGUCGAGUAGACCAAGGCGCUUGAGAGAACUCUGCUGAAGGAACUAGGCAAAAUGGUACCGUAACUUCGGGAGAAGGUACGCUGUUGUUGGUGAUGGAACUCGCUUCCUGAGCUGACGACAGCCGCAGAAACCAGGCCGCUGCAACUGUUUAUUAAAAACAUAGCACUCUGCAAACACGAAAGUGGACGUAUAGGGUGUGAUGCCUGCCCGGUGCUGGAAGGUUAAUUGAUGGGGUUAGCGUAAGCGAAGCUCUUGAUCGAAGCCCCAGUAAACGGCGGCCGUAACUAUAACGGUCCUAAGGUAGCGAAAUUCCUUGUCGGGUAAGUUCCGACCUGCACGAAUGGCAUAAUGAUGGCGGCGCUGUCUCCAGCAGAGGCUCAGUGAAAUCGAAAUCGCUGUGAAGAUGCAGUGUACCCGCGGCUAGACGGAAAGACCCCGUGAACCUUUACUGCAGCUUGACACUGAACUUUGACCUUACUUGUGUAGGAUAGGUGGGAGGCUUUGAAGCUGGAACGCUAGUUCCAGUGGAGCCGUCCUUGAAAUACCACCCUGGUAAUGUUGAGGUUCUAACUCUGUCCCGUGAUCCGGGACGAGGACCGUGUCUGGUGGGUAGUUUGACUGGGGCGGUCUCCUCCUAAAGAGUAACGGAGGAGUACGAAGGUGCGCUCAGCGUGGUCGGAAAUCACGCGUAGAGUAUAAAGGCAAAAGCGCGCUUAACUGCGAGACCCACAAGUCGAGCAGGUACGAAAGUAGGUCUUAGUGAUCCGGUGGUUCUGUAUGGAAGGGCCAUCGCUCAACGGAUAAAAGGUACUCUGGGGAUAACAGGCUGAUACCGCCCAAGAGUUCAUAUCGACGGCGGUGUUUGGCACCUCGAUGUCGGCUCAUCUCAUCCUGGGGCUGAAGCAGGUCCCAAGGGUAUGGCUGUUCGCCAUUUAAAGAGGUACGCGAGCUGGGUUUAGAACGUCGUGAGACAGUUCGGUCCCUAUCUACCGUGGGCGCUGGAAAUUUGAGAGGAUCUGCUCCUAGUACGAGAGGACCAGAGUGGACGAACCUCUGGUGUACCGGUUGUGACGCCAGUCGCAUCGCCGGGUAGCUAUGUUCGGAAGGGAUAACCGCUGAAAGCAUCUAAGCGGUAAGCCUACCUCAAGAUAAGAUUUCCCUAGGACUUUAUGUCCUCUAAAGAGCCGUUCGAGACUAGGACGUUGAUAGGUUGGAUGUGGAAGCAUAGUGAUAUGUGAAGCUGACCAAUACUAAUUGCUCGUGAGGCUUGACUA
RNAcentral lists this ribosomal RNA (1717 nucleotides) under Acinetobacter baumannii 45002_8. RNAcentral's name for it is "bacterial LSU rRNA". It matches the Rfam family "Bacterial large subunit ribosomal RNA", at positions 1229 to 2925 of the family's 2925-position model. The record is from RNAcentral. Lineage: Bacteria; Pseudomonadati; Pseudomonadota; Gammaproteobacteria; Moraxellales; Moraxellaceae.